GAUCUUUAAUUUGCUCAGCACCAAACUCCGCCGUCUUUGUUCAAGAACACCCCUAAUAUCGUCUCGUCGAGACGGCCACGAUUCUGACUCGAAACGUCAUUGUUCCUGUUAUUGUGAUACUAUUCCAACAACAAAAAGCAAAAUUAUACGAGAACAAACCAAUCAACGGAAUUGCAAAUUAAAGAUAACAUCUUCGCAGAUCACAUCUAACCUUUAUUCAAAACCACCAUACAACAACCAAAUUGCAGCGUUGCCGCACUUUCCUGGAGUACUGAAAUUUUCAGGAAGUAUCAUUGUAGAGCCAACAAUCAGCAUUUCAGAUGUUAAAGAAGCAAUCGAUCAAUUGCACAAACACAACUACAUAAUUCGCCGCCGUCCAGUCCCCGUUCGCCGUCAUCAUUGCAUCUGAUCACUGUUGUUACAUUGGAGAAAAUUUUUAUAUCGGAUGAUUGCUCGGUUACCUAAAAGUCUUCACCGGAAAACUCUACUUCUGAUGCUUUGCCGGAGAGAGGGAGAAUAAAAAUGGUGUAGGG
Molecule: long non-coding RNA, 533 nt
Filed under: Nicotiana benthamiana
Lineage: Eukaryota; Viridiplantae; Streptophyta; Magnoliopsida; Solanales; Solanaceae
Description: long non-coding RNA (NBEN_LNC030381)
Source: RNAcentral